GCGUCAGGAGGGAUGGGGGGGGAGGAGGAGGAGGGUUGGGAAAGGGGUGGUGGUGAAGGUGGUGGUUGGGGAAGAGAUUGUGGUGGUGAAUGAGUGUGUAUGGGGUGUUGUGAGAGAGAGAGAGAGAGAGAGAGAGAGAGAGAGAGAGAGAGAGAGAGCAUACACACACCACCAAUCAUGUAUUCCGGACUCAUCAACUCUCUCUCUCUCUCUCUCUCUCUCUCUCUCUGUAACGCUCUCGACGAUUUUGCGUUGGCGGGGAGUCGAAACGAAGCACCAUGAAGCACUACGCGACACACCGAAACACCGAACACACAUACGAACGAACACUAUUGGAACAGACUCUCUCGAUGACGUUUCCUUUUCCUCCUUUUUUUUAUCUAUACGUGAAACUUUUGGAAGACUACAUUACGAAACUGAUACUGAAACACGAUUAAUACUUGUUUCACCUUAUGAUUCGGCGAUGAAUGAAACAGGAAAGAAAACUAAUGUACGAUGAGGGGGGGGGGGGGGUACUUUUUCAUUCUUCAUUUUUCUUCAUAAGCGCGAAACUGGAAGGUGAAACUCGAAGAAACUAUAGGAAGACGGAGUAUAGUCAAAAUAUAUUCCUUACACUUCUACGCUAAACCACGAAACCGGAAUAUAACAGCAAGGAAAGGGAUGAAGGGAAGGGAAUAACGAAAGGGGGCGGGGCUUAUUCGCGAAGGUUAUGUGAACGGAGCAUAGUCGGAUGAUCUUUUCUUACAAUGCGAAACAAAACUACGAAAGCGAGACAAUACAGCGAACUUACUCAGGCAUACGUUAUAGGUCCACGAAACCGGAACAUUACAGCAAGGGAAGGGGGCGGAGCUUGUUCGCGAAGGUUAUGUGAACGAAGCAUAAGUCAGAUGAUCUUACGAUGCGACGAAAUACUACGAAAACGAUACAGUACAGCGAACUUAAUCUGGCAUACGCGAAGUAAAGGCAACGUUACCUGCUAGUUCAUUAAUAUAUUCGUGUAUUUACAGAGCUUAAAGGUAACAUAGUGUGUAUUUAGAGGAAGGACUAAGGUGGGACUCGUAUAAAACUAGUCAUUACCAAGGCGAGUGUGUGUGUUUAGAGAUGAUAGAUAAAGAAAUAUACAGAUAGAUAAAUAGAUUGAUUGAUAGAUAAAGAAAGAAAGGAAGAAGGUAAGAAAGAAAGUAAAAAAGAAAUUAAGAAAGAAAGAAUGAAUGAAAGAAAGAAAUUAAGGAAGUGAAUGUGACAAAGAAAGAAAGAAAAAAAGAAAGAAAUUAAGAAAGUAAAUGUAACAAAGAAAUUAAGAGAAAGAAAGAAUGAAUGAAUGAAUGGAUGAAAGAAAUUGAAAAAGUAAGAAAGAAUGAAAUGAAGUAAAUCAAUUAAGAAAGAAGGAAAUAGAAGAGAAUUUAAGACUGAAAGAAAGAAACUGAAAAGAAAGAAAGAAUGAAAUGAAGUAAAUCGAUUAAGAAAGAAGGAAAUAGAAGAGAAUUUAAGACUGAAAGAAAGAAACUGAAAAGAAAGAAAGAAUGAAGUAAAUCGAUUAAGAAAGAAGGAAAUGAAAGGGAGAAAUUGAGACAAAGCAAGAAACUGAAAAAGAUAGAAAGGAAUGAAAAUUAAGAAAGAAAGAAAGAAAUGAAAGAGAAAUUAUGAUUGAAAGCAAGAAAAUGAAAAAGAAAGACAAAAAGAAUGAAAAAAGAUAGACUGAAGAUAGAAAGAAAAAAAGACAAAAAAAAAGAAAAAAAAGAAAUAGGAAAAAGGGAAAAAGAAAACAAAAAAAGACAAAAAACAAAAUAGAAAGAAAGAAAAAAGAAAGACAAAGAAAAAAGAUAGAAAAAAAAGAAGAUAGAUGAGUUAUCCUAAGCGUUGAACAAACACACACACACACACACACACACACACACACACACACACACACACACACACACACACACACACACACACACACAAAUAUCUAGCUAUUACUGACAUUAUCUUCCUCCUAAUAAUAUCUUCGUAGCGAUAUUACUAACACGAUAUUUCUUCAUUAAUUCAACUUCAUCGCUUUUCUUCAUUUUUUUUGUAAUAUAGAAAACGGGGGGCGGAGUAUUUACAGAGCGGUGACUAUUAUAAUAUUGAAGAAGUAGUAGUAGUAGUAGUAGUAGUAGUAGUAGUAGUAGGAGGAGGAGGAGGAGGAGCUACGUCUGAUAUCCCACUAAUGAGGACACACACAUAGGAUAUAGGAUAGGAUAAGGAUAGGAGAGGAAGGAAGGGAGGAGGAGGAGGAGGAGGAGGAGGAGGAGGAGAAUCGAUAACAAGGAAUAGUGAAGGAAAUAUGUGUGAAUGAAUAUGUAGAAAAUGAAUGAAUGAAUGAAGGAAGAGAAAGAAGAAGGAAAGAGAAGGAAGAGGAGGAAAAGAAACAAAAAAAGAUGUAAAAAAAAGACAAGGAAAGAGUGAAAAGGAGAAAUGAAAAGACGCAGAGAAAAAGAAAAAGAAAAAAUCGGAUUACGGAAAAAAAAAAGGAAUGAAGGAAGAGUGAAAAAAACAAGCUGGCAAGGAAGGAAGGAAGGAAGGAAGGAA
Long non-coding RNA from Eriocheir sinensis (Chinese mitten crab), 2553 nucleotides. RefSeq lists it as uncharacterized. Lineage: Eukaryota; Metazoa; Arthropoda; Malacostraca; Decapoda; Varunidae. The record is from RefSeq and is a predicted model, not a curated record. The transcript has 2 exons.